RNAcentral lists this ribosomal RNA (371 nucleotides) under Escherichia coli. RNAcentral describes it as "partial 23S ribosomal RNA". It matches the Rfam family "Bacterial large subunit ribosomal RNA", at positions 1290 to 1663 of the family's 2925-position model. Lineage: Bacteria; Pseudomonadati; Pseudomonadota; Gammaproteobacteria; Enterobacterales; Enterobacteriaceae. The record is from RNAcentral.
GCGAAUGCUGACAUAAGUAACGAUAAAGCGGGUGAAAAGCCCGCUCGCCGGAAGACCAAGGGUUCCUGUCCAACGUUAAUCGGGGCAGGGUGAGUCGACCCCUAAGGCGAGGCCGAAAGGCGUAGUCAAUGGGAAACAGGUUAAUAUUCCUGUACUUGGUGUUACUGCGAAGGGGGGACGGAGAAGGCUAUGUUGGCCGGGCGACGGUUGUCCCGGUUUAAGCGUGUAGGCUGGUUUUCCAGGCAAAUCCGGAAAAUCAAGGCUGAGGCGUGAUGACGAGGCACUACGGUGCUGAAGCAACAAAUGCCCUGCUUCCAGGAAAAGCCUCUAAGCAUCAGGUAACAUCAAAUCGUACCCCAAACCGACACAGG